This 439-nucleotide ribosomal RNA is filed under the name Triticum aestivum (bread wheat). RNAcentral describes it as "partial small subunit ribosomal RNA". The record is from RNAcentral. Lineage: Eukaryota; Viridiplantae; Streptophyta; Magnoliopsida; Poales; Poaceae.
UCGGCGCAGGCGACGCGUGGCCAUGGCCUGGCGCGGGGUGUGGCGCAGCGUGCGAGGGCGAGGCCUUGACGCGGGCGGGCGUAGCCUGGCUACUCCGGGCGCGAGCGCCGCGCGGGCGAAGGGGACCCGCAACGACGGACGGAGGGAGGCGACGCCGGCCGGUGGCCGCUAUCAUGACGUCUGCAGGAGAGGCGAUGGCCGGGGAGCGGUCGCGCCGUUCCUUUUUCUCUCGACCAAAUCGCUCUCGGGAGCAUGCUGAUAACGUGUUCGAGAUUGACAGAACAAAUGAUCGAACUAUCUCUUUGCAUUAGAUGAAGUGCUAUAUAUAGCACUAGAACAGGCGUUUACAAAGGGGCGUCGGUGAACCGACGCAACGGUUGGAAAAGUAACCGCCAAAGGUUAAUACAAGCAGGGAUUAAUCCCUUAAUUACUAUGUUAA